Molecule: long non-coding RNA, 562 nt
Filed under: Nicotiana benthamiana
Lineage: Eukaryota; Viridiplantae; Streptophyta; Magnoliopsida; Solanales; Solanaceae
Description: long non-coding RNA (NBEN_LNC025711)
Source: RNAcentral
UCCAACUAUUACUUUUAUUCUAUACGAAGCUAUUGAUAGGAUUCUACAUCUCGUUACUGAGAUUGUUGCAUAUCAUGCCUGUAUGGAACAGACUACAAUAGUUAUGGUUGAUAACUAUAUAUUCAACAUCUACAUAAGUGGAUAACAUCAUAUAUGAUUUCUGCAAUAUUCCUGUUUCACAAAGAUUGGUUGUACCAGAAGUUCUGUUGUGUGCAAUAACAUGCUUAUCAAUGCUAGAAGUAGAGUGUUCAUUGGACGUCAACUUUGUACUGCAAACACAAUGAAAGUAAGCAAAAGUAGAAGAUAGAAGAAUAUUUUGCAAACAUGGAAAGAGGAAGAUGAAUCUUAAUCGUUUAACAACUGCUGAAUCCUAGUGUGGAGACACAACAAGAAGCAAGAUUCUGUAGAUGUACUAUUCCUCAUAUCCAUGUUAUACUAUAAAAGAUUCAUCCUUUAUGUCUUUGUAUUCCCUGAAUCUACAUACCCUGAAAGAAGGUAAAAAAUUUAUUCAGCAAGAGAAAAUAUUUGUCACCCGUAUCAAUAGAGAAAAAAAGUUGAAAAG